RNAcentral lists this long non-coding RNA (714 nucleotides) under Homo sapiens (human). RNAcentral's name for it is "HSALNT0133556". The record is from RNAcentral. Lineage: Eukaryota; Metazoa; Chordata; Mammalia; Primates; Hominidae.
GACUUGGAUGUUAUUGUGUGUGAGUCCAGCACAUUACACAAAGUGGUCACUGAUUUAAAGCUUAGAGAAAUGAGACACAAGACAAAGAGUUAAACGUCCUGUGACACAAAUUUCCUGAAAAGCUUUGCUACGUGAUGCUCUUUCAGUGGCCCUGCGUACGGAGAUCAAUGAGUGAAAACGAGCCCUUAGACUGAAAGUGAACCUCACAAUGGAACAGAACCACCCGCCACCAGACAAGGUUCUACACGUGGUUAAGGGACCAACUGCAGUCACAGGGAUGACAUACCAGUGCAAGGAGUAACAUUUCAAAGGAAGAGAAAGCUCAGGCCACAUGCAGUCACCAUGCAUCACCAGCCUCAGAAGAAGGGUGGACUGGCUUAUGCAAAUUAUCAAAUUUGCUUCUGUUUCCCAGCAUUGUUUUCCUUACCUGCGACUGUUUGCCUUUCAUUAUAGAACUAAUACCACAUGUUCUCACUUACAGGUGGGAGCUAAAUGAUGAGAAUUCAUGGACAUAUACAAGGGAACAACAGCCCCUGGGGCCUUCUUGAGGGUGGAGGGUGGGAGGAGGGAAAGGAGCAGGAAAAAAUAACUCUUAGGGCCUAUGCUUAGUACCAGGGUGCCGAAAUAAUCUGUAUAGCAAACCCGCAUGACAUGAGUUAUAUAUAAGAAAACUGCACGUGUACCCCUGAAUCUAAAAUAAAAGUUAAAAAAAUG